Molecule: ribosomal RNA, 498 nt
Filed under: uncultured bacterium
Lineage: Bacteria
Description: partial 16S ribosomal RNA
Rfam family: Bacterial small subunit ribosomal RNA
Source: RNAcentral
GACGAACGCUGGCGGCGUGCCUAAUACAUGCAAGUCGAGCGGACGAAUCGAAAGCUUGCUUUUGAUUCGUUAGCGGCGGACGGGUGAGUAACACGUGGGCAACCUGCCCUGUAGACGGGGAUAACACCGAGAAAUCGGUGCUAAUACCGGAUAACACGAAAUGUCGCAUGACGUUUCGUUGAAAGACGGCGCAAGCUGCCGCUACAGGGUGGGCCCGCGGCGCAUUAGCUAGUUGGUGAGGUAACGGCUCACUCAGGCGACGAUACGUAGCCGACCUGAGAGGGUGAUCGGCCACACUGGGACUGAGACACGGCCCAGACUCCUACGGGAGGCAGCAGUAGGGAAUCGUCCGCAAUGGACGAAAGUCUGACGGAGCAACGCCGCGUGAGCGAAGAAGGCCUUCGGGUCGUAAAGCUCUGUUGUUAGGGAAGAACAAGUAACGCAGUAACUGGCGUUACCGUGACGGUACCUAACGAGAAAGCCACGGCUAACUACGUG